UUGGAGGGCAAGUCUGGUGCCAGCAGCCGCGGUAAUUCCAGCUCCAAUAGCGUAUAUUAAAGUUGUUGCAGUUAAAAAGCUCGUAGUUGAAUUUCGGGAUCAAUAUUUCGGUCAUGCCGUUGGUAUGCACUGUUAUCAUUGAUUUCUCACCUUCUAAAGAACCGUAAUGCCAUUAAUUUGGUGUUACGGGGAAUUAGGACUAUUACCUUGAAAAAAUUAGAGUGUUUAAAGCAGGC
This 236-nucleotide ribosomal RNA is filed under the name uncultured fungus. Its description in RNAcentral is "partial 18S ribosomal RNA". It matches the Rfam family "Eukaryotic small subunit ribosomal RNA", at positions 548 to 785 of the family's 1831-position model. Lineage: Eukaryota; Fungi. The record is from RNAcentral.